This 230-nucleotide ribosomal RNA is filed under the name uncultured Alicycliphilus sp. RNAcentral's name for it is "partial 16S ribosomal RNA". It matches the Rfam family "Bacterial small subunit ribosomal RNA", at positions 548 to 774 of the family's 1533-position model. The record is from RNAcentral. Lineage: Bacteria; Pseudomonadati; Pseudomonadota; Betaproteobacteria; Burkholderiales; Comamonadaceae.
AGAGAUGCAUUGGGCGUAAAGCGUGCGCAGGCGGUUUUGUAAGACAGAGGUGAAAUCCCCGGGCUCAACCUGGGAACUGCCUUUGUGACUGCAAGGCUGGAGUGCGGCAGAGGGGGAUGGAAUUCCGCGUGUAGCAGUGAAAUGCGUAGAUAUGCGGAGGAACACCGAUGGCGAAGGCAAUCCCCUGGGCCUGCACUGACGCUCAUGCACGAAAGCGUGGGGAGCAAACA